Amblyraja radiata (thorny skate) is the source of this 78-nucleotide long non-coding RNA. RefSeq lists it as uncharacterized. NCBI's taxonomy places the organism in Eukaryota, Metazoa, Chordata, Chondrichthyes, Rajiformes, Rajidae. The transcript has 3 exons. The record is from RefSeq and is a predicted model, not a curated record.
UUCACCACACUAAAGAGAUUCUUCCUCAUCUCCAUUCUGAUGGUACAUUGUUUUAUUCUGGGACUAUGGCCUCUCUUC